GGCUACCAUGCAAGUCGAACGUUAGGGUUUAGCAAUAGACCCAAAAGUGGCGAACGGGUGAGUAACACGUAGGUAACCUGCCGCGCAGAGGGGGAUAACGGUUGGAAACGACCGCUAAUACCGCAUGGUACUAAGAAGGUUGGCUUCUUCUUGGUUAAAACUUUGGUGCUGCGCGAGGGGCCUGCGUCCGAUUAGUUAGUUGGUGAGGUAACGGCUCACCAAGACGAUGAUCGGUAGCUGGUCUGAGAGGAUGAUCAGUCACACGGGAACUGAGACACGGUCCCGACUCCUACGGGGGGCAGCAGUGAGGAAUAUUGCACAAUGGACGCAAGUCUGAUGCAGCAACGCCGCGUGGAGGAUGAAGGUCUUUGGAUUGUAAACUCCUUUUCUCAGGGAAGAGUGAGGACGGUACCUGAGGAAUAAGUCACGGCUAACUACGUGCCAGCAGCCGCGGUAAUACGUAGGUGGCAAGCGUUAUCCGGAAUUACUGGGCGUAAAGCGCACGCAGGCGGCGCAGCAAGUUCGACGUGAAAGCUCCCGGCUUAACUGGGAGAGGUCGUUGAAGACUGCUGUGCUUGAGGCAAGGAGAGGGGUGUAGAAUUCCUGGUGUAGUGGUGGAAUGCGUAGAUAUCAGGAGGAAUACCAGUGGCGAAAGCGGCACCCUAGCCUUAGCCUGACGCUCAUGUGCGAAAGCGUGGGGAGCGAACGGGAUUAGAUACCCCGGUAGUCCACGCUGUAAACGAUGAACACUAGGUGUAGGGGAUGUGAAAGUUCUCUGUGCCGAAGCCAACGCGUUAAGUGUUCCGCCUGGGGAGUACGGCCGCAAGGCUAAAACUCAAAGGAAUUGACGGGGGCCC
Molecule: ribosomal RNA, 857 nt
Filed under: uncultured bacterium
Lineage: Bacteria
Description: bacterial SSU rRNA
Rfam family: Bacterial small subunit ribosomal RNA
Source: RNAcentral